This 134-nucleotide ribosomal RNA is filed under the name Euglena gracilis. Its description in RNAcentral is "partial large subunit (LSU) ribosomal RNA". Lineage: Eukaryota; Euglenozoa; Euglenophyceae; Euglenales; Euglenaceae. The record is from RNAcentral.
GAGUAACAAUAUUUAUAUAAAUCUCUAAUCAAUUAUUAAUAUAUUAUAUAUAUAUAGAAUCAUAUAUAUUUAAUGAAUAUAUAUUAUGUAUAGUAAAAUGUAAUAAGAUAUAGUAGGAAAUACCAAAGAGAUUA